RNAcentral lists this ribosomal RNA (501 nucleotides) under uncultured bacterium. RNAcentral's name for it is "bacterial SSU rRNA". It matches the Rfam family "Bacterial small subunit ribosomal RNA", at positions 38 to 507 of the family's 1533-position model. The record is from RNAcentral.
GGCGGCGUGCCUAAUACAUGCAAGUCGAGCGCGGAAGUCAGGAAGCCUUCGGGUGGAACUGGUGGAACGAGCGGCGGAUGGGUGAGUAACACGUAGGUAACCUGCCCUAAAGCGGGGGAUACCAUCUGGAAACAGGUGCUAAUACCGCAUAAUCCCAGCGGUCACAUGAGUGCUGGUUGAAAGACGGCUUCGGCUGUCACUUUUAGGAUGGACCUGCGGCGUAUUAGCUAGUUGGUGGAGUAACGGUUCACCAAGGCAAUGAUACGUAGCCGACCUGAGAGGGUGAUCGGCCACAUUGGGACUGAGACACGGCCCAAACUCCUACGGGAGGCAGCAGUAGGGAAUCUUCCACAAUGGACGCAAGUCUGAUGGAGCAGCGCCGCGUGGAUGAAGAAGGUCUUCGGAUCGUAAAAUCCUGUUGUUGAAGAAGAACCGGUUGUGAGAGUUAACUGCUCAUAACGUGACGGUUAAUCAACCAGAAAGUCACGGCUAACUACCGUG